This 113-nucleotide microRNA precursor is filed under the name Echinops telfairi (small Madagascar hedgehog). RNAcentral's name for it is "microRNA 760 (ENSETEG00000022383.1)". The stretch from base 17 to 95 matches the Rfam family "mir-760 microRNA precursor family". Lineage: Eukaryota; Metazoa; Chordata; Mammalia; Afrosoricida; Tenrecidae. The record is from RNAcentral.
GGACGCUGCGGCACGGGGCGCGUCGCCCCGCUCAGUCCGCCAGAGCGCGGAUGUCUCCGAAAUUCGGCUCUGGGUCUGUGGGGUGCGAAAUGCAACCCCCCUCCCGAGCCCCG